GAACGCUAGCUACAGGCUUAACACAUGCAAGUCGAGGGGCAGCAUUACGGUAGCUUGCUACUGUAGAUGGCGACCGGCGCACGGGUGAGUAACGCGUAUCCAACCUGCCCAUGACUUGGGGAUAACCUUGCGAAAGCAAGCCUAAUGCCCAAUGACAUUGAGUGCGGACAUCUAAUCUCAAUUAAAGAUUUAUCGGUGAUGGAUGGGGAUGCGUCCGAUUAGCUUGUUGGCGGGGUAACGGCCCACCAAGGCAACGAUCGGUAGGGGUUCUGAGAGGAAGGUCCCCCACAUUGGAACUGAGACACGGUCCAAACUCCUACGGGAGGCAGCAGUGAGGAAUAUUGGUCAAUGGGCGAGAGCCUGAACCAGCCAAGUAGCGUGCAGGAUGACGGCCCUAUGGGUUGUAAACUGCUUUUAUAAGGGAAUAAAGUGGGGCUCGUGAGCUCUUUUGCAUGUACCUUAUGAAUAAGGACCGGCUAAUUCCGUG
Molecule: ribosomal RNA, 487 nt
Filed under: uncultured bacterium
Lineage: Bacteria
Description: bacterial SSU rRNA
Rfam family: Bacterial small subunit ribosomal RNA
Source: RNAcentral